GACGAACGCUGGCGGCGUGCUUAACACAUGCGAGUCGAACGGAAAGGCCCUGCUUUUGUGGGGUGCUCGAUUGGCGAACGGGUGAGUAACACGUGAGUAACCUGCCCUUGUCUUUGUGAUAACUUCAGGAAACUGGGGCUAAUACCGGAUAGGAGCUCCUGCUGCAUGGUGGGGGUUGGAAAGUUUCGGCGGUUGGGGAUGGACUCGCGGCUUACCAGCUUGUUGGUGGGGUAGUGGCUUACCAAGGGUUUGACGGGUAGCCGGCCUGAGAGGGUGACCGGCCACAUUGGGACUGAGAUACGGACCAGACUCCUACGGGAGGCAGCAGUGGGGAAUAUUGCACAAUGGGCGGAAGCCUGAUGCAGCAACGCCGCGUGCGGGAUGACGGCCUUCGGGUUGUAAACCGCUUUCGCCUGUGACGAAGCGUGAGUGACGGUAAUGGGUAAAGAAGCACCGGCUAACUACGUG
This 468-nucleotide ribosomal RNA is filed under the name uncultured bacterium. RNAcentral describes it as "partial 16S ribosomal RNA". It matches the Rfam family "Bacterial small subunit ribosomal RNA", at positions 28 to 507 of the family's 1533-position model. The record is from RNAcentral.